AUUAGACGAAUCAUCUGGAAAGAUGAAUCAAAGAAGGUAAUAAUCCUGUAGUCGAAAAUGUUGUCUCUCUUGAGUGGAUCCUGAGUACGACGGAGCACGUGAAAUUCCGUCGGAAUCUGGGAGGACCAUCUCCUAAGGCUAAAUACUCUCUAGUGACCGAUAGUGAACCAGUACCGUGAGGGAAAGGUGAAAAGCACCCCGGAAGGGGAGUGAAAUAGAACCUGAAACCGUGUGCUUACAAGUAGUCAGAGCCCGUUAAUGGGUGAUGGCGUGCCUUUUGUAGAAUGAACCGGCGAGUUACGAUUUGAUGCAAGGUUAAGCAGUAAAUGUGGAGCCGUAGCGAAAGCGAGUCUGAAUAGGGCGUUUAGUAUUUGGUCGUAGACCCGAAACCAGGUGAUCUACCCUUGGUCAGGUUGAAGUUCAGGUAACACUGAAUGGAGGACCGAACCGACUUACGUUGAAAAGUGAGCGGAUGAACUGAGGGUAGCGGAGAAAUUCCAAUCGAACCUGGAGAUAGCUGGUUCUCUCCGAAAUAGCUUUAGGGCUAGCCUCAAGUGAUGAUUAUUGGAGGUAGAGCACUGUUUGGACGAGGGGCCCCUCUCGGGUUACCGAAUUCAGACAAACUCCGAAUGCCAAUUAAUUUAACUUGGGAGUCAGAACAUGGGUGAUAAGGUCCGUGUUCGAAAGGGAAACAGCCCAGACCACCAGCUAAGGUCCCAAAAUAUAUGUUAAGUGGAAAAGGAUGUGGCGUUGCCCAGACAACUAGGAUGUUGGCUUAGAAGCAGCCAUCAUUUAAAGAGUGCGUAAUAGCUCACUAGUCGAGUGACACUGCGCCGAAAAUGUACCGGGGCUAAACAUAUUACCGAAGCUGUGGAUUGUCCUUUGGACAAUGGUAGGAGAGCGUUCUAAGGGCGUUGAAGCAUGAUCGUAAGGACAUGUGGAGCGCUUAGAAGUGAGAAUGCCGGUGUGAGUAGCGAAAGACGGGUGAGAAUCCCGUCCACCGAUUGACU
This 1010-nucleotide ribosomal RNA is filed under the name Staphylococcus aureus. RNAcentral describes it as "partial 23S ribosomal RNA". It matches the Rfam family "Bacterial large subunit ribosomal RNA", at positions 328 to 1346 of the family's 2925-position model. The record is from RNAcentral. Lineage: Bacteria; Bacillati; Bacillota; Bacilli; Caryophanales; Staphylococcaceae.